RNAcentral lists this ribosomal RNA (497 nucleotides) under uncultured bacterium. RNAcentral describes it as "partial 16S ribosomal RNA". It matches the Rfam family "Bacterial small subunit ribosomal RNA", at positions 28 to 507 of the family's 1533-position model. The record is from RNAcentral.
GAUGAACGCUGGCGGCGUGCCUAAUACAUGCAAGUCGAGCGAACAGACGAGGAGCUUACUCCUCUGACGUUAGCGGCGGACGGGUGAGUAACACGUGGAUAACCUACCUAUAAGACUGGGAUAACUUCGGGAAACCGGAGUUAAUACCGGAUAAUAUAUUGAACCGCAUGGUUCAAUAGUGAAAGACGGUUUUGCUGUCACUUAUAGAUGGAUCCGCGCCGCAUUAGCUAGUUGGUAAGGUAACGGCUUACCAAGGCAACGAUGCGUAGCCGACCUGAGAGGGUGAUCGGCCACACUGGAACUGAGACACGGUCCAGACUCCUACGGGAGGCAGCAGUAGGGAAUCUUCCGCAAUGGGCGAAAGCCUGACGGAGCAACGCCGCGUGAGUGAUGAAGGUCUUCGGAUCGUAAAACUCUGUUAUUAGGGAAGAACAAAUGUGUAAGUAACUAUGCACGUCUUGACGGUACCUAAUCAGAAAGCCACGGCUAACUACGUG